RNAcentral lists this ribosomal RNA (483 nucleotides) under uncultured bacterium. Its description in RNAcentral is "partial 16S ribosomal RNA". It matches the Rfam family "Bacterial small subunit ribosomal RNA", at positions 30 to 506 of the family's 1533-position model. The record is from RNAcentral.
AUUGAACGCUGGCGGCAGGCCUAACACAUGCAAGUCGAGCGGAUGAAGGGAGCUUGCUCCUGGAUUCAGCGGCGGACGGGUGAGUAAUGCCUAGGGAUCUGCCUGGUAGUGGGGGAUAACGUCCGGAAACGGGCGCUAAUACCGCAUACGUCCUGAGGGAGAAAGUGGGGGAUCUUCGGACCUCACGCUAUCAGAUGAGCCUAGGUCGGAUUAGCUAGUUGGUGGGGUAAAGGCCUAUCAAGGCGACGAUCCGUAACUGGUCUGAGAGGAUGAUCAGUCACACUGGAACUGAGACACGGUCCAGACUCCUACGGGAGGCAGCAGUGGGGAAUAUUGGACAAUGGGCGAAAGCCUGAUCCAGCCAUGCCGCGUGUGUGAAGAAGGUCUUCGGAUUGUAAAGCACUUUAAGUUGGGAGGAAGGGCAGUAAGUUAAUACCUUGCUGUUUUGACGUUACCAACAGAAUAAGCACCGGCUAACUUCGU